This 497-nucleotide ribosomal RNA is filed under the name uncultured bacterium. Its description in RNAcentral is "partial 16S ribosomal RNA". It matches the Rfam family "Bacterial small subunit ribosomal RNA", at positions 28 to 507 of the family's 1533-position model. The record is from RNAcentral.
GAUGAACGCUGGCGGCGUGCCUAAUACAUGCAAGUCGAGCGAACGGACGAGAAGCUUGCUUCUCUGAUGUUAGCGGCGGACGGGUGAGUAACACGUGGAUAACCUACCUAUAAGACUGGGAUAACUUCGGGAAACCGUAGCUAAUACCGGAUAAUAUUUUGAACCGCAUGGUUCAAAAGUGAAAGACGGUCUUGCUGUCACUUAUAGAUGGAUCCGCGCUGCAUUAGCUAGUUGGUAAGGUAACGGCUUACCAAGGCAACGAUGCAUAGCCGACCUGAGAGGAUGAUCGGCCACACUGGAACUGAGACACGGUCCAGACUCCUACGGGAGGCAGCAGUAGGGAAUCUUCCGCAAUGGGCGCAAGCCUGACGGAGCAACGCCGCGUGAGUGAUGAAGGUCUUCGGAUCGUAAAACUCUGUUAUUAGGGAAGAACAUAUGUGUAAGUAACUGUGCACAUCUUGACGGUACCUAAUCAGAAAGCCACGGCUAACUACGUG